GAUGAACGCUAGGGGCAUGCUUAACACAUGCAAGUCGAACGAUUCUAACAUUUUGUUUACAAAGUGUAAGGAAAGUGGCGGACGGGUGAGUAACGCGUAAGAACCUGCCCUUAGGAGGGGGAUAACAACUGGAAACGGUUGCUAAUACCCCAUAUGCUGAGGAGUAAAACGGUAACAACCGCCUAAGAAUGGGCUUGCGUCUGAUUAGCUUGUUGGUAAGGUAAAAGCUUACCAAGGCGACGAUCAGUAGUUGGUCUGAGAGGAUGAUCAGCCACACUGGGACUGAGACACGGCCCAGACUUCUACGGAAGGCAGCAGUGAGGAAUUUUCCGCAAUGGGCGAAAGCCUGACGGAGCAAUGCCGUGUGGAGGAAGAAGGCCUACGGGUUGUAAUCUCCUUUUCUCGGAAAAGAAAAUUUGACGGUAUCUGAAGAAUAAGCAUCGGCUAACUUCCGUGCCAGCCGCCGCCGUAACAC
RNAcentral lists this ribosomal RNA (475 nucleotides) under uncultured bacterium. RNAcentral's name for it is "bacterial SSU rRNA". It matches the Rfam family "Bacterial small subunit ribosomal RNA", at positions 28 to 526 of the family's 1533-position model. The record is from RNAcentral.